RNAcentral lists this ribosomal RNA (1299 nucleotides) under Gymnophthalmus cryptus. Its description in RNAcentral is "partial 16S ribosomal RNA". The stretch from base 771 to 1299 matches the Rfam family "Archaeal large subunit ribosomal RNA", at positions 1423 to 2599 of the family's 2987-position model. The record is from RNAcentral. Lineage: Eukaryota; Metazoa; Chordata; Lepidosauria; Squamata; Gymnophthalmidae.
AUUUUUAAACCCAAGCCUAACCACACCCACGCCAAAUAUACCACAUACACAACCAAAACAUUUGACCAAACCAGUAUAUGAGAUAGCGAAACUUAAGCCCUCUUAGCGCAUCAGUACCGUAAGGGAAACAAGAAAGCGAUUAAUAAAAAUUUAAAACCCAAAAAGCAGAGAUUACACCACAUACCUUUUGCAUCGCAUGGUUUAACAAGACAAAUUAGACAAAGCGCCACUGCUCUUCAGCCUAAAACGCCCCGAAAUCAAGUGAGCUACCCCAGACCAACUUCUUAGAGUCAACCCGUCACUGUAGGCCAAAAGUGUGGGAAGAGUCCAGGGUAGUGGUGAAAAGCCAAACGAACUUGACAAUAGCGCUGGUUGUCCGACAAAUGAAUAUAAGUUCAACCUUAAAUAAAAUAUUUACAAGCCGCUAAAUACCUAACUAUUUAAGAUUUAGUCACUGGGGGCACAGCUCCAGUGACCAAGGAUGCACAACCUUAUAUAGUGACAAUUUUAGAUACUCCCACAUAGUAGGCCUCAAAGCGCAGCCAACAAAAAUUAAAUGCGUUAAAGCAACCCUUACCCCUAAUACCCAACAGCCACAUAAACUCCUAUCUCUAACCGGACCACUCUACACUAUAGAAAAGGCCCCCUGUUAAAACUAGUAAUAAGAAAUAUUCUCCACAACGUAAGUAAAACUUAAGCCAGACACAACAAUGCACCAAAAACACUAAAAUACAACAACCAAACCAAACUGUUAACGCCCAACCCAGGAACGUAUUAUGGAAAGAUAAAAAGCUGAAAAAGGAACUCGGCAAUAGCUAAGUCUCAACUGUUUACCAAAAACAUAGCCUUUAGCCAAAACAAGUAUUAAAGGUGAGCCGCCUGCCCAGUGACUCAUUCAACGGCCGCGGGAUCCUCCACCGUGCAAAGGUAGCAUAGCAUCACUUGUCUCCUAAAUAGAGACUAGUAUGAAUGGCCAAAUGAAGACUUACCUGUCUCUGCUACAGCCCAUCUAUUAAACUGAUCUUUCAGUACAAAAGCUGAAAUAAUCACACGCAAGACGAAAAGACCCUGUGGAACUUAAAGCCACAACCAACACAAAUGGUUUAAACGCGCUUUUAGUUGGGGCAACUUUGGAAAUAAACAAAACUUCCAAUUACCUGUCAAGAUAGCGACAUAUCAAAACAUCUUUAAACCCAUGACCCAGUAUUACUGAUUAAAGAGCAUAAAGCUACCCCAGGGAUAACAGCGCCAUCCCCUCUUAGAGCCCCCAUCGAUGAGCGGGGCGUUUACGACCUCGAU